RNAcentral lists this microRNA (23 nucleotides) under Caenorhabditis briggsae. RNAcentral's name for it is "Cbr-Mir-36-o19_5p* (star (passenger))". The record is from RNAcentral. Lineage: Eukaryota; Metazoa; Nematoda; Chromadorea; Rhabditida; Rhabditidae.
UGUGAAUUUUUGCUGCGGUGUUA